UAUGUACUCCCUCCGUCCCAAAAUAACUGACGUGUAUUUGUAUAAACCAUCACAAAAUAACUGAUGUGGAUUUGUAUAAAAAUCUAUACAAAUUUACGUCAAUUAUUUUGGGACGGAGGGAGUAUAAG
Molecule: non-coding RNA, 128 nt
Organism: Brachypodium distachyon (stiff brome)
Lineage: Eukaryota; Viridiplantae; Streptophyta; Magnoliopsida; Poales; Poaceae
Source: Rfam